Molecule: ribosomal RNA, 624 nt
Filed under: uncultured bacterium
Lineage: Bacteria
Description: bacterial SSU rRNA
Rfam family: Bacterial small subunit ribosomal RNA
Source: RNAcentral
CGAGCGGUAACGAGGGGGAGCUUGCUCCCCGCUGACGAGCGGCGGAGGGGUGAGUAAUGCAUAGGAAACUGCCCAGUAGUGGGGGAUAGCCCGGGGAAACCCGGAUUAAUACCGCAUACGCCCUUCGGGGGAAAGCAGGGGAUCUUCGGACCUUGCGCUAUUGGAUGUGCCUAUGUCGGAUUAGCUAGUUGGUGGGGUAAGAGCCUACCAAGGCGACGAUCCGUAGCUGGUCUGAGAGGAUGAUCAGCCACAUCGGGACUGAGACACGGCCCGAACUCCUACGGGAGGCAGCAGUGGGGAAUAUUGGACAAUGGGGGCAACCCUGAUCCAGCCAUGCCGCGUGUGUGAAGAAGGCUUUCGGGUUGUAAAGCACUUUCAGUGAGGAGGAAAACCUUACGACUAAUACUCGUGAGGCUUGACGUUACUCACAGAAGAAGCACCGGCUAACUCCGUGCCAGCAGCCGCGGUAAUACGGAGGGUGCAAGCGUUAAUCGGAAUUACUGGGCGUAAAGCGCGCGUAGGUGGUUUGAUAAGCGAGAUGUGAAAGCCCCGGGCUCAACCUGGGAACGGCAUUUCGAACUGUCAGGCUAGAGUAUGGUAGAGGAGUGUGGAAUUUCCUGUGUA